This is a long non-coding RNA of Brienomyrus brachyistius, 304 nucleotides long. RefSeq lists it as uncharacterized. Lineage: Eukaryota; Metazoa; Chordata; Actinopteri; Osteoglossiformes; Mormyridae. The record is from RefSeq and is a predicted model, not a curated record. The transcript has 3 exons.
CUCCUGUUUGUCCACUGACAGCCCUGGAGGACUUCAACACACAGUCUGCAGUACAGACAUCUUACCAUCAGUGACUGACAGAUUAACCUGAUCAGAGAGGCUCCACUGUACUUCACACCACACCAGUACCGAUCGGAAUCCUCAGCUGUCAGAUUGUUGAUGGUCACAGUGAAGACUCGCUGUACGGGACUCCACUCCAACAACCGCUGCAAACACCGCGCCUCCCUGAGAGCCAUCACCCAUCAGCUCAUCAGCCACUGCAACCAACUGCAAAGACCUCCCUCUUUCCUGCAUCCAAGUAAAC